Molecule: ribosomal RNA, 253 nt
Filed under: uncultured bacterium
Lineage: Bacteria
Description: partial 16S ribosomal RNA
Rfam family: Bacterial small subunit ribosomal RNA
Source: RNAcentral
UACGGAGGGUGCAAGCGUUAAUCGGAAUUACUGGGCGUAAAGCGUGCGUAGGCGGCUGCUUAAGUCAGAUGUGAAAGCCCCGGGCUUAACCUGGGAACGGCAUUUGAUACUGGGCAGCUCGAGUUGAGUAGAGGAGAGGGGAAUUUCCGGUGUAGCGGUGAAAUGCGUAGAGAUCGGAAGGAACACCAGUGGCGAAGGCGCCUCUCUGGACUCAAACUGACGCUGAGGUACGAAAGCGUGGGUAGCAAACAGG